GAUGAACGCUGGCGGCGUGCCUAAUACAUGCAAGUCGAACGCAUAUCAGUAAUGAUAUGAGUGGCGAACGGGUGAGUAAUACAUAAGCAACCUGGCCUUUUGAGGGGGAUAACUGCUGGAAACGGCAGCUAAGACCGCAUAGGUAUAUCUAUUGCAUGAUAGAUAUAUUAAAUAUCCCACGGGAUAGCGAGAGGAUGGGCUUAUGACGCAUUAGCUAGUUGGUAAGGGUAGCGGCCUACCAAGGCGACGAUGCGUAGCCGGCCUGAGAGGGUGAACGGCCACACUGGGACUGAGACACGGCCCAGACUCCUACGGGAGGCAGCAGUAGGGAAUUUUCGGCAAUGGGCGAAAGCCUGACCGAGCAACGCCGCGUGAGGGAGGAAGUCCUUCGGGAUGUAAACCUCUGUUAUAAAGGAAGAACGGUAACUGCAGGGAAUGGCAGUUAAGUGACGGUACUUUAUGAGGAAGCCACGGCUAACUACGUGCCAGCAGCCGCGGUAAUACGUAGGUGGCGAGCGUUAUCCGGAAUUAUUGGGCGUAAAGAGGGAGCAGGCUGCUGAACAGGUCUGUGGUGAAAGCCCGAAGCUAAACUUCGGUAAGCCAUGGAAACCGGACAGCUAGAGUGCGUCAGAGGAACGUGGAAUUCCAUGUGUAGCGGUGAAAUGCGUAGAUAUAUGGAGGAACACCAGUGGCGAAGGCGACGUUCUGGGGCGCAACUGACGCUCAUUCCCGAAAGCGUGGGGAGCAAAUAGGAUUAGAUACCCUAGUAGUCCACGCCGUAAACGAUGAGUACUAAGUGUUGGGGGUCAGACCUCAGUGCUGCAGUUAACGCAAUAAGUACUCCGCCUGAGUAGUACGUUCGCAAGAAUGAAACUCAAAGGAAUUGACGGGGGCCCGCACAAGCGGUGGAGCAUGUGGUUUAAUUCGAAGCAACGCGAAGAACCUUACCAGGUCUUGACAUACCUUUAAAGGCCCUAGAGAUAGGGAGAUAGCUAUAGAGGAUACAGGUGGUGCAUGGUUGUCGUCAGCUCGUGUCGUGAGAUGUUGGGUUAAGUCCCGCAACGAGCGCAACCCCUGUUGCCAGUUGCCAGCAAGAGAGAUGGGGACUCUGGCGAGACUGCCUCUGCAAGGAGGAGGAAGGCGGGGAUGACGUCAAAUCAUCAUGCCCCUUAUGACCUGGGCUACACACGUGCUACAAUGGACGGAUCAGAGGGAGGCGAAGCCGCGAGGUGGAGCGAAACCCAGAAACCCGUUCACAGUUCGGACUGCAGUCUGCAACUCGACUGCACGAAGCUGGAAUCGCUAGUAAUCGCGAAUCAGAAUGUCGCGGUGAAUACGUUCUCGGGCCUUGUACACACCGCCCGUCACACCAUGAGAGUUGGUAACACCCGAAGCCGGUGGCCCAACCGCAAGGAGGGAGCUGUCUAAGGUGGGACUGAUGAUUGGGGUGAAGUCGUAACAAGGUAUCCCUACGGGAACGUGGGGAUGGAUCACCUCCUUUCUAGGGAGAAAAGAGCAGGCAUGUUUCUGAUCAGUUUUGAGUGUAAAGGCACUCAGGAGAGAACAUUGAAAACUGAACAGCAAGAAAGAAAAAAACUUUUGAAGCAAAGAUGAAGAUGAAGAGAUCAAAAAGAGAGAAGAAGGUUAAUUCAUCUAGUCGGGAAAAAAAGUAAGACAAAAAACGAGAAGAAAAGAGAACUCACAAACAUUUUAGGUCAAGAAAGAAAGAGCGUAUGGCGAAUGCCUAGACACCAGGAGGCGAAGAAGGACGCAGCAAACGGCGAAACGCAUCGGUUAGCGGUAAGCACGCAGAGAUCCGGUGAUAUCCGAAUGGGGGAACCCACAUGAGCGAUCAUGUAUCCCAUGAUGAAAAGAUAGUCAUGGAGAGGCGAGACGCAGGGAACUGAAACAUCUAAGUACCUGCAGGAGAGGAAAGAAAAUCGAUUCCGUAAGUAGUGGCGAGCGAAAGCGGAGGAGCCCAAACCGAAGUAAAUUCGGGGUAAUAGGAGCUGCGACAAAGAAGAGUUUUAGAUGAUAGCCGAACUGCAAGGGAAGGCAGUCCGAAGAGGGUGAUAGACCCGUAGGCGAAAUCAAAUAAAGCAUUCGAGCAGAGAUCCUGAGUACGACGGGGCACGUGGAAUCCUGUCGGAAGUAUCGGGGACCAUCCCGAAAGGCUAAAUACUGCCUGGUGAUCGAUAGUGAACC
Molecule: ribosomal RNA, 2205 nt
Filed under: uncultured Massilimicrobiota sp.
Lineage: Bacteria; Bacillati; Bacillota; Erysipelotrichia; Erysipelotrichales; Erysipelotrichaceae
Description: partial contains 16S ribosomal RNA, 16S-23S ribosomal RNA intergenic spacer, and 23S ribosomal RNA
Rfam family: Bacterial small subunit ribosomal RNA (bases 1-1501)
Source: RNAcentral